Molecule: long non-coding RNA, 1473 nt
Filed under: Oncorhynchus kisutch (coho salmon)
Lineage: Eukaryota; Metazoa; Chordata; Actinopteri; Salmoniformes; Salmonidae
Description: lncRNA (ENSOKIG00005033949.1)
Source: RNAcentral
CUAUGGGCCCUAGUUCCUUAUUCCCUAUCUAGUUCACUAUGGGCCCUAGUUCCUUAUUCCCUAUCUAGUUCACUAUGGGCCCUAGUUCCUUAUUCCCUAUCUAGUUCACUAUGGGCCCUAGUUCCUUAUUCCCUAUCUAGUUCACUAUGGGCCCUAGUUCCUUAUUCCCUAUCUAGUUCACUAUGGGCCCUAGUUCCUUAUUCCCUAUCUAGUGCACUAUGGGCCCUAGUUCCUUAUUCCCUAUCUAGUGCACUAUGGGCCCUAGUUCCUUAUUCCCUAUCUAGUGCACUAUGGGCCCUAGUUCCUUAUUCCCUAUCUAGUGCACUAUGGGCCCUAGUUCCUUAUUCCCUAUCUAGUUCACUAUGGGCCCUAGUUCCUUAUUCCCUAUCUAGUUCACUAUGGGCCCUAGUUCCUUAUUCCCUAUCUAGUGCACUAUGGGCCCUAGUUCCUUAUUCCCUAUCUAGUUCACUAUGGGCCCUAGUUCCUUAUUCCCUAUCUAGUGCACUAUGGGCCCUAGUUCCUUAUUCCCUAUCUAGUGCACUAUGGGCCCUAGUUCCUUAUUCCCUAUCUAGUUCACUAUGGGCCCUAGUUCCUUAUUCCCUAUCUAGUGCACUAUGGGCCCUAGUUCCUUAUUCCCUAUCUAGUUCACUAUGGGCCCUAGUUCCUUAUUCCCUAUCUAGUUCACUAUGGGCCCUAGUUCCUUAUUCCCUAUCUAGUGCACUAUGGGCCCUAGUUCCUUAUUCCCUAUCUAGUUCACUAUGGGCCCUAGUUCCUUAUUCCCUAUCUAGUGCACUAUGGGCCCUAGUUCCUUAUUCCCUAUCUAGUGCACUAUGGGCCCUAGUUCCUUAUUCCCUAUCUAGUUCACUAUGGGCCCUAGUUCCUUAUUCCCUAUCUAGUGCACUAUGGGCCCUAGUUCCUUAUUCCCUAGUUCCUUAUUCCCUAUGUAGUGCACUAUGGGCCCUAGUUCCUUAUUCCAUAUCUAGUUCACUAUGGGCCCUAGUUCCUUAUUGCCUAUCUAGUUCACUAUGGGCCCUAGUUCCUUAUUCCCUAUCUAGUUCACUAUGGGCCCUAGUUCCUUAUUCCCUAUCUAGUUCACUAUGGGCCCUAGUUCCUUAUUCCCUAUCUAGUUCACUAUGGGCCUUAGUUCCUUAUUCCCUAUCUAGUUCACUAUGGGCCCUAGUUCCUUAUUCCCUAUCUAGUUCACUAUGGGCCUUAGUUCCUUAUUCCCUAUCUAGUGCACUAUGGGCCCUAGUUCCUUAUUCCCUAUCUAGUGCACUAUGGGCCCUAGUUCCUUAUUCCCUAUCUAGUUCACUAUGGGCCCUAGUUCCUUAUUCCCUAUCUAGUGCACUAUGGGCCCUAGUUCCUUAUUCCCUAGUUCCUUAUUCCCUAUCUAGUGCACUAUGGGCCCUAGUUCCUUAUUCCCUAUCUAGUGCACAGCCUCACCUCAUGCCAGUCUGUCCAUUAACCCACUAG